GUUGUUGUUAGGUGAAGUGGUUUGGAAUGGCCUGCCGGAGAAGGUGAGAGUCCUGUAGUUGAAGACAAUGGCAUGUGGGUUGUUGGGUUGCCCGAGUAGCAGCGGGCUCGUGGAAUCUGCUGUGAAUCUGCCGGGACCACCCGGUAAGCCUAAAUACUCAAGUUGACCGAUAGCGGAAUAGUACCGUGAGGGAAUGGUGAAAAGUACCCCGGGAGGGGAGUGAAAUAGUACCUGAAACCGUGUGCUUACAAUCCGUCAGAGCCUCUUUUGUGGGGUGAUGGCGUGCCUUUUGAAGAAUGAGCCUGCGAGUCAGCGGCAUGUCGCGAGGUUAACCCGUGUGGGGUAGUCGUAGCGAAAGCGAAUCCUAACGAGGGUGUUUUUUAGUGGCAUGUUCUGGACCCGAAGCGGGGUGAUCUACCCAUGGCCAGUGUGAAGCAGCUGUAAGAGGUUGUGGAGGCGCGAACCCACGUAGGUUAAAAACUGCGGGGAUGAGCUGUGGGUAGGGGUGAAAGGCCAAUCAAACUGGGAGAUAGCUCGUACUCCCCGAAAUGCAUUUAGGUGCAGCG
RNAcentral lists this ribosomal RNA (566 nucleotides) under Aurantiochytrium limacinum. RNAcentral's name for it is "partial Bacterial large subunit ribosomal RNA". It matches the Rfam family "Bacterial large subunit ribosomal RNA", at positions 322 to 881 of the family's 2925-position model. Lineage: Eukaryota; Bigyra; Thraustochytrida; Thraustochytriidae. The record is from RNAcentral.